UGGGGAGUAGCCAAGUGGCAAGGCAUCGGUCUUUGGAUCCGACAUUCGAAGGUUCGAACCCUUCCUCCCCAGCCA
RNAcentral lists this transfer RNA (75 nucleotides) under Candidatus Sumerlaeota bacterium. Its description in RNAcentral is "tRNA-Gln". It matches the Rfam family "tRNA". Rfam says of the family: Transfer RNA (tRNA) molecules are approximately 80 nucleotides in length. Their secondary structure includes four short double-helical elements and three loops (D, anti-codon, and T loops). Further hydrogen bonds mediate the characteristic L-shaped molecular structure. tRNAs have two regions of fundamental functional importance: the anti-codon, which is responsible for specific mRNA codon recognition, and the 3' end, to which the tRNAs corresponding amino acid is attached (by aminoacyl-tRNA synthetases). tRNAs cope with the degeneracy of the genetic code in two manners: having more than one tRNA (with a specific anti-codon) for a particular amino acid; and 'wobble' base-pairing, i.e. permitting non-standard base-pairing at the 3rd anti-codon position. RNAcentral also lists the same sequence under 1 other name. The record is from RNAcentral. Lineage: Bacteria; Candidatus Sumerlaeota.